RNAcentral lists this ribosomal RNA (979 nucleotides) under uncultured fungus. RNAcentral's name for it is "eukaryotic LSU rRNA". The stretch from base 616 to 979 matches the Rfam family "Eukaryotic large subunit ribosomal RNA", at positions 1 to 358 of the family's 3401-position model. The record is from RNAcentral. Lineage: Eukaryota; Fungi.
GGAAGGAUCAUUAUUGAAUGAACUUGGUUGGGUUGUUGCUGGCUCUUUCGGGAGCAUGUGCACACCUAACACCAAUUUCUUACCACCUGUGCACCUUUUGUAGACUUGGAAUAACUCUCGAGGCAACUCGGUUUUGGAGAUGGAUGUGCGAAAGCCAGCUUUCUCCUAUGUUUCCAGUCUAUGUUUUUAUAUAUACCCCUAUAGUAUGUCUAAGAAUGUAAUACAAGGGCUUAUUGCCUUUAACCCCUAUACAACUUUCAACAACGGAUCUCUUGGCUCUCGCAUCGAUGAAGAACGCAGCGAAAUGCGAUAAGUAAUGUGAAUUGCAGAAUUCAGUGAAUCAUCGAAUCUUUGAACGCACCUUGCGCUCCUUGGUAUUCCGAGGAGCAUGCCUGUUUGAGUGUCAUGAAAUUCUCAAUCUCUUCAACUUGUUGUUGAGGAGGCUUGGAUGUUUGGGAGUUGCGGGCUUGAUUUACAAGUCGGCUCUCCUUAAAUGCAUUAGCGGAACCUUUGUGGACCAGCUUUGGUGUGAUAAUUAUCUACGCCAUGGCAUGUGAAACAGAUUUAAUAGGGUUCAGCUCCUAAUAGUCUCCUGUAGACAAUCUUUUGACCAUUUGACCUCAAAUCAGGUAGGACUACCCGCUGAACUUAAGCAUAUCAAUAAGCGGAGGAAAAGAAACUAACAAGGAUUCCCCUAGUAACUGCGAGUGAAGCGGGAAAAGCUCAAAUUUAAAAUCUGGCGGUCUCUGGCCGUCCGAGUUGUAAUCUAGAGAAGUGUUAUCCGCGCUGGACCGUGUACAAGUCUCCUGGAAUGGAGCGUCAUAGAGGGUGAGAAUCCCGUCUUUGACACGGACUACCAGGGCUUUGUGAUGCGCUCUCAAAGAGUCGAGUUGUUUGGGAAUGCAGCUCUAAAUGGGUGGUAAAUUCCAUCUAAAGCUAAAUAUUGGCGAGAGACCGAUAGCGAACAAGUACCGUGAGG